CCGUGCGAAAAAAGUAAUGUAUAAUUGGGUCCCGUUCCCCGCUGCACACACUCCUUUAUCCGCCCCUCCUGCUGCACACACUUCUUUAUCACAAUGCCGCCUUCUGCUCAAUCUCCAAAUGCAAAUCGACUGCCGCUGCCGACGUCGACGCUGCGCCGCUGCCUGCGCCGUUGGCUUGAACAAAGAAAAUGCAAAAGGAGCGAACGGGCAGAACAAAGAGCGAACGAAGGAGAGGCGGCGGGAGCAGGAGAGAAGAGUGAGAGAGAGAGUGGGUGCAAAAGGGAAAUGCACUUGAAACGCAGACAACAAAGAGAUCCAAAUUGCGCCCUUCUGUUCAAUUAGUUAAUUAAUUAGCACUUUUGCCGGGGCAACUUGAUUAAUAUAAAGUAACAAGAAGUUCACUGAACCACACAGAAAAAAAAGGAGAUAAAAAAACGUAAACUCACUUGGCGAUUUCUUUGGCUCGCUUUACUCAAUUAUUUCGGCCGAAACAAACGGAUUUCUAUUCAAUUUAUUGCACCUUAAUGUUAGCUAUUUUGUUUACUUCUUGACCACUCUUCUUCUUCUAUUCACACGACAAAAAAAAAACGGACAAGCGAAAAGCAAAGCGCGCAGCGCGAAAUGCGGAUGGCAAAUGACGCUGCUUUUGGUACAAAACAAAAAAUCUGAAGCAGAGUGGCGCUGCCGAUGCCGGCAGCGACGGCGACUGCGACGCAGCAGGUGGCAGCAGAGUCGGCGAUAAAGGACAAAAUACAAAAAGAAUACAAACUAGAAAAGCUCAGAAAGCAACAAUUGAACGAAACGCAUAAUGCGUGCUCAAUGAACAAACAAAUUACGUGCAAUUUACAGUUGCAAUCAAGACAGAAGAAUACAGAAGAGCCGAACAAGGUGGGCAGGAGGAGGUGGGAAGAAAUGAAAAUAAGCAAGUCCUGACUUCAAACGUGGGUAGCAACAAUUACAGAAAGACUUUUGCCUACAUCUUACAUUUUAAUGUGUGCGACACUGUGCAGGCCACAAAUGUACAAACCACCAAACCAUAAUUAUAAAAUGACAUUCCGGUUUAUUAUGUUUCAAUAGUUACCAUGAA
Molecule: long non-coding RNA, 1087 nt
Organism: Drosophila simulans
Lineage: Eukaryota; Metazoa; Arthropoda; Insecta; Diptera; Drosophilidae
Exons: 2
Source: RefSeq, a predicted model, not a curated record